This is a long non-coding RNA of Mus musculus (house mouse), 1160 nucleotides long. RefSeq annotates it as predicted gene 13842. The record is from RefSeq and is marked validated. The transcript has 4 exons. NCBI's taxonomy places the organism in Eukaryota, Metazoa, Chordata, Mammalia, Rodentia, Muridae.
GAACCCAGCAACAGGAAGUCUGUUAGCCAGGGACUCACAGAUAAUGCCUCUGUGGCGUGCCAGUGGGUAUCCGUGAGAGGGGAAGGCUGCUGGGUUCUGAUAUUACAUCCUCAUAAGUACUAUGGGAAAACUCUUUAAAAGCUCAUGGUUUGUGGUCUAUGCUGGUUUUUGUAAUUGUGUCGUCGUGGCAACCAUUUGCAAAGCAUCCCAAGUACUUCUGCCGCUCUGAAGCCCCACCCGGAUUCUCCCUGACUUUAUGGGAAGGUUCCCAAGGAGGCCAGAAGAGAAUGUUCAGCCCCCCUGCACUGGACUUACAGAAGUGACCACAGUAAAACAGGGAGCCACUGAAACCCCCACUCCCUCCCUACCUCAGGGCACACCAGACAAGUGUUUCUACCGUCCACUCCAUGACCAGAUGUUCACAAAAUGGAUGCUCACAGGAUGCUCUCUCCACGUUUGUGUCUGGGGAUUGAACUCGGGUCAUCAGGAUACAAGCAUCUAUACCACUGAGCCAUCUCUCCAGCCAGCACCUUUGAUUCUGUGUUGAUUGUUCCUGUUGGAAAGAGGCUAGAGUCAGCCCAUGAGGUAUACAAACCAGACAGCACAGUCUUGAGAAGAGGGUUCAGCCAAGAUCUCAGUGCUCACUUGCCUUCUGUAGCGGGCAUCCCCGCAAGCAGAGCUCACUUGUGCAAUCCCGGGAACUGGGCUGUCUUGUUGGCUGGAAAACACAAGAUCUUCCGGCUAUGCACGUGGGUGUCUGGGUAUCACCGGAUGGUGCUUUCACUGUUAUCUGAGUAAGAGCAGAAGUCUGGAGGCUGUCCGGGCACAUCAAAGCAUGUGCAGAGCUCAGAUAAAGGCCUUCUGGUUGCGCCCUCCUCAUUGCCUGCGGGAGAACGUGGGGACCAUGCUCAUCCCGGAACGUUCAACGGGUUCAGAUUUCAUGGAGUAAACUCAACCUUGUUGGUCGUUGGUUCCAGAAAAUUCUCCUUGGCCCUCACUCAGCCCUUCUCCUAGCUCAGAGAGAAUUCCUUCCGAACUGCGCCUUUACCUUCCUGUGGUCCACCCCUCCUCUGUAAAGAUUCCUUUACACUUGGAGCAUCUCUUAUUUUUGCUCACAGCCUCACUGGCAAAUAAAUAAAGAGAAGUAUAUAAACACACAA